Long non-coding RNA from Psammomys obesus (fat sand rat), 321 nucleotides. RefSeq lists it as uncharacterized. NCBI's taxonomy places the organism in Eukaryota, Metazoa, Chordata, Mammalia, Rodentia, Muridae. The record is from RefSeq and is a predicted model, not a curated record. The transcript has 3 exons.
GUGUCAGUUCUGUCGGUCCCUCCAGGAGAGGGGCUGACGACGCCUUGGCUGUCCCACCUUGGAAAAGGGUGCCACCGCGCGCCACUCCGGGCGUCCACCGAGUCAGAUGGCUGAGUGGCCGAGCAUUUCCCAGAGCUCCCAAGGCCAGGCGUGGCGGCCCGUGCUUGCAGUCCCAGCGUUUGGAAAGCAAAAGGCAGAAGGAUGGCUCCCAGCUAGAGGCCAGCUUGUUUUACAUGAUCUGGCCUCGCCUGCCCUGGAGGAGCUCAGAAACAGUGUGACAGAAAGCCAACUCUGAAUUAGAAGUGAUGGGAACUGAAAACA